Molecule: non-coding RNA, 283 nt
Organism: Dermacentor albipictus
Lineage: Eukaryota; Metazoa; Arthropoda; Arachnida; Ixodida; Ixodidae
Source: RefSeq, a predicted model, not a curated record
GGUCUUUAGUCUCCACCACUCCUCCUGGAGACUAGCGAUCAGCGCGUGUUGUGCGGAUGCUUCAGAAAGAACUAAACACCACGCAACGGUGCGCAGCCGCUACCAAGGAAAUAUCUAAUCUUUGGGUAGAGGUCCAGCAGCAGGAAUGACCUAAAGAGACGCCGAGAACUAUGCGAGCGUGACCGUGCCUUUACAAUUACCAAAUCUGAGGUCAACCAUCAUUAGGAAGAAGGUAAAUGAUCUGCGAGUGCAUCAGCCUGUGCAAGUGUCUAAGCCUGCUCCC